GAAGAAGACAAGAACAGGUGGUGGCGAUACAUGUUACAGUGAGACAAAACGAUGACUGCAUAUGCAUCGAAAGCGAAGCCUUCAGAGUUGGUAGAUUGUAUCGGUGUCCUUUUUGUGCAAUACAGUACAGAAUACAUUCUGAAACUUGUGUUGGGGAGGAUUCCAUGUCUGUUGAGGCCCAUGUGAAUGUGCUACAAAUUGAGUAUCGGAAAACUCAUCCAGACAUCUCGACUGUCCAAGACCACAUGGCACGAACAUUCUCCUGGAGACGUUGAGAAAGCAUGGAAGGAAUGUCUGUGGAGGAUGUACUCAAAAAAUACCCAUACUUAAGGACACCUGCUGGAGGGGACCCUGCUACACCCUUUCCAACCAUACAACUGAUGGAUACUGACUGGAAAAUGGCAAUCAUAGGAGGAGGGCUCAGUG
Sinocyclocheilus grahami is the source of this 426-nucleotide long non-coding RNA. RefSeq lists it as uncharacterized. The transcript has 4 exons. The record is from RefSeq and is a predicted model, not a curated record. NCBI's taxonomy places the organism in Eukaryota, Metazoa, Chordata, Actinopteri, Cypriniformes, Cyprinidae.